GGUCUUUUGUUGAUAUAAAAGAUUUGGCCUGCCCAAUGAUUUAUUUAAAUGGCUGCAGUAUUUUGACUGUACAAAGGUAGCAUAAUCAUUUGUCUUUUUAUUGAAGGCUGGUAUGAAUGGUUAGAUGAAAAAUAUCCUUUCUUUGUUUUAUAUAUUGAAUUUGAUUUUUUAGUCAAAAAGCUAGGAUGUAUUUGUAGGACGAGAAGACCCUAUAGAACUUUAUUUACAUGAAUUAUGGUUUUUUUAGUUUAUAAUAAUUUUAUAUUUUUUUUGUUAAAAUUUUGUUGGGGUGAUGGAAAAAAUAUUAUAACUUUUUCUUUUUGUUACAUUUAUGUAUGUUUUUUUGAUCCUUUAUUAUGGAAAAUAAGAUUAAGUUACCUUAGGGAUAACAGCGUUAUUUUUUUGGAGAGUUCAUAUCGAUGAAAAAGUUUGCGACCUCGAUGUUGGAUUAAAAUAAGUGCCAGGAGUAGAAUG
Molecule: ribosomal RNA, 474 nt
Filed under: Irbisia pacifica
Lineage: Eukaryota; Metazoa; Arthropoda; Insecta; Hemiptera; Miridae
Description: partial 16S ribosomal RNA
Source: RNAcentral